UACGUAGGGCGCAAGCGUUGUCCGGAAUUAUUGGGCGUAAAGAGCUCGUAGGCGGUUUGUCGCGUCGGAUGUGAAAGCCCGGGGCUUAACCCCGGGUCUGCAUUCGAUACGGGCAGACUGGAGUGUGGUAGGGGAGAUCGGAAUUCCUGGUGUAGCGGUGAAAUGCGCAGAUAUCAGGAGGAACACCGAUGGCGAAGGCAGGUCUCUGGGCCACUACUGACGCUGAGAAGCGAAAGCAUGGGGAGCGAACAGG
This 253-nucleotide ribosomal RNA is filed under the name uncultured bacterium. RNAcentral describes it as "partial 16S ribosomal RNA". It matches the Rfam family "Bacterial small subunit ribosomal RNA", at positions 524 to 776 of the family's 1533-position model. The record is from RNAcentral.